RNA transcript from Nicrophorus vespilloides, 5501 nucleotides. It is a transcript of the gene named serine-rich adhesin for platelets, with no coding region annotated. The record is from RefSeq and is a predicted model, not a curated record. The transcript has 6 exons. Lineage: Eukaryota; Metazoa; Arthropoda; Insecta; Coleoptera; Silphidae.
GCGUGAAAUUAGCUGCGGUUAGUACAGUGUAUUUUCAUUUAGAAACCGCGAAAGACAUAUUAAAGGUUAGAUUCAGUUAAACUUGUUUAUUUUGAUAGAGAAAAGAAGGAUUUGUAGUUGGUUCAAGUGGCGAGGUGUGCUCCUAGGAUUAGAGUGUAUCUCUUCAAUUCGAGGCAAAAUUUGAAGCAGCAAAAGUAUAUAGGAGGAUUGGUUGCAGUACCGUAAAGUUAAAGUUACUGAGACAUAUAUCGUUCUGUAUAUGAGGGCCAAGUGGACAUAACUAACUUUUAAGGUUAUUUGGUGCAAUUAUAAUAUUUGAGUGUAGUUUCUGUUGUACAGUGGCAAAAAGGGUGGUUGGUGGUAGGUGGCUGCAGAUUCUGGCGAAAGAAGGGGGGCCCGACUAAACGUCAACGUGCUUGAGGAUAUGGGGGCAGUUUGCUGGUAGACCGUUCGCUGGAUAGAUGGGUGUGCGUUGUCCAUCUGGUGGCGUUUUGAAUUUGGCGGGCAGUCCGUGUACCCAUGAUGCGCCGCGGCCGCGAGUCGCGCAUCCAGUUUGCGCACAUCAAUGGCGUCCAGUUGUUAUUGUUGAAAGCGUAUAAACUAUUUGUGAAAAGAUUAUGUGCGUUUCCCGUGUGUUUUUAGCGCGUGGCGAGUGUGUUUAGGGACGGCGCGUGGAGUUUCGGACGAGUUGGGUCGUCCGUGCGAUCCGCGGCCGGCUGUUUGUGCGUUUAAAAGUGUGUCACAUAAAAUGGGAUGGCAGCAGAUAGUGCGGGUGUCGCCUUAACAGCGGUGGUAACCUGCGAGGGAGACUUGGAUGAUCCAGAGUUCGCUGGAGUAUUCGAGCGAACCUUAGCCAGUCUGCAAGGUAUCUUGGAGGAGGGUCCGAUUAAAGUGCACAAGCUGGAGCCUUGGAAUUCGGUGCGCGUGACGCUGUCCAUUCCGAGGGAGGCGGCGUUGCGGCUAAGACAGCUCGCAAAUGAUGGAUCGCAACAACUGCGCGCACUUGGCAUCCUCAGCGUGCAGGUGGAGGGCGACCAAGUCAUCUCCUUGCGGUUGGCCGCCACCUCAUCUACUGCCGAAUCGCAAGAGAUUGUUCUGAGAACGGGGCAACAAGAUGGCAGUGGAUCGAGUGGAAGUACUAGUCUGUCGCAGUUGUUGGUUGGUGGUGCCAGUAGCGGCGGAGAAAGUGUUGUGUCAUCCGGUACGGCGACGGCGAGUAGUAACUCAAGUAUUACUGCGUCUUCGGAAAAAGUGCAAUUUCGUUCACCAAAUGUGGUAUGUCCGUCGGAUAGUAUAGUACCAAAAGUGCCAGUGGGUAGUGCUAGUAAUGCGGUUACGCCACCGACGACGAAGACAUUCGCGGGACCAUUUCCAUUCACCAGCAUGAACCAAGCAAUGCAUAGCAAUGGAAACGGUGGUGUCGGUGCCAGUGCGCCGGUUGCUAAUUUCUCUACCCCGCCGCCACCUUAUCCCGGAAAACAUCCGCCGGUCACGUUGUCCAGUCCGCUGCUGGUGAAUCUUCUUCAAAAUGAAGGGGGUACUUCAUCAUCAACAUCAUCAUCAAUUAAUUCGACCGCUUCAACUUCUUCGAGUACGCGAUUGCAAUCCGAGUUGACAUCAACUAACAAAGUUAGGACGUUACCUUCGACUCAACAAGCGUCCAAUAACAAGAUUCUCUAUAAUGUCUUGCCUCAACGACAGCAGCAGCAGAUCACAAAUGUCACUUUGUCUACACAACAACAGCAGCAGCAACAGAAACUUGUUAUUCGAGAGCAACCCCCACCACAACCAUCACAGCAGCAACAACAGAAGUCUCAGCAGCAUCAGCAACAACAUCAUCAUCAUCAACAACAACAAGCACCAUCUACACAAGUUGUUGGACAUCAUAAUCAUAGCAUGUCGCAAGUUGCAUCUACAACAUCGUCACUAUCUACGCCGAUAGUGACCGUAAGAAAUCCCACUGUGCCUUACAAUAUAUUCAAUCCACAACCUCAAACUCAGUUGCCACCUCCUUCAUAUCCAAAUACGAUACGACAAUGGGGUGAUUCGCUUGGACAGCAUUAUCAACAGCAACAAAUGCAGCAACCGCCGCAGAUGCCACAACUGCAAGAAUUGAUGCCAUCUCUGACCGACCUGAAAGCCGAUCUAGACCAGCUGUUGCCGACGCUAGAAAGGGAUUUAGCUGGUAGUCCGCCGGAUUUACCGGAUCUGCUUAACGACAAAUCAUCUAAAACCGUUUACCUUAUUAAUCCAUUGACUGGUGAACUGGAACCGCAGUCUAAUAGUGAUAGUGAAGAGGAAGAGUUCAGGGAUGUUUUCACAGGUUUACCAUCACCAUCAACUCUAUCAGAUGAGGAUACCAAUUCCACGAUUAGACCGGACACCACGGAUCAAAGUGAUAGCGAGAGUAGAAGCUGCCACAGUGAUAGUAGUAAACAUUCGAAGAUAAAGGGGCGGAAUCGGGAUGCCAAAGGUCGCGACUCGCCCAGCGUUGCAGGGAAACCAACUGAGAAAAUCAAGUUACGUUUAAAGCUGGAAAAGUCUGAACCAGUUAGUCCCGCGUACAAAGUUGACGUUAGUUUUAUAAACACGCAGCAAUCGAAAAAGUCAACAAUCAGUGCAUCUAGUACCGGCGGCGGUGGUGGUGCCCUAGGUGGCGGCAUUGGCGAAGAACCGAGAGUCCCACCGCUACACAUCUCGUUACGCGGCCGGAAUCAUGCAGUGAUAAACAACAAGAAGAAAGUAAAAACUAGUGCGAGCGACAAGGUACGGAAAGUGCAACAAGUGAAAAAGGACCUGGGCGACGACGAAUGCGAUUACGAAUCGCGUAAAGUGAAAAAACCCAAACUGAGUGUAAACGAAAUUAAGAAAAUUGUAUGUCUGGGAGAUGCGAAGGACGUAAAUGCUUACGUGAAUCUACAUUUUAAGGAGAAGCUUAAGGAGCGACGUGGCAGUGAUUCCGAAUUAGCGAGGAACAAUAAAAAAUUUACAGACAGCAACGGUGUUCUAUCGGACGAGAAAAAGCGACGGCUGAGUCAGACAGCGGCAGAGGAUAGUUUCGAUUUGUCUCUGACGUCGACUACUUCUGCUGCGAGUGCUACUACUACUGUGUUGGGUUCCACGAACAUGGGUACGAUGUCGUCGAUUGCUACUAGCCAUAAGAUCAGAAAGGACAAGGCGAAGCUGAAAGAAAACUUUAAAAACAAGGAAUUGAACAGAUUUAAAAGUUACUCUAAGAAUAUAGCGGAUAUAAGUCCCAGGCGUAAUAAGCAGCAACAACAACUAGUUGCCUUACCUACAGGGGAAAUUGACAUGGAGGCUAAGUUUAAACAAAGGUUAAUGGAAGAUGGAGGAGACAGCAGGACGGUCACAACGACGGUCCAGCAACUAAUUCACAUACCUAAUAAUGCACUGGAAGUGACUGAUCCAAAAGUGGAGGACUUAAUUCAAACAUUGACAAAUCCCCCACCGAUCAAAGACAAACCCCCCGAGCCUGACAAGUGUAACACGCCUGACCGAAAGAACGAUGAUAAACCACCGAACCAUCGAUCACCGAAUUCCGGUGCACAGGGAGAAGAUAGUGGUAUAGAAAGUAUGGAUGCUUUGAGCGAGAAGAGCCCCAACCAGGCUAGCCAGAGCCCGCACGAGGAGAUCCCAGAUCCCACGCUACCAUCUAAAACCAAAACUCAUCAUCAAGUGCCUGAUAUACUCGAUAUUGAAGCCCAGUUAGCCAAAAUGGAGGGACUUCACAGUGAAGAUGACCUCAACGAAAACAGUAGUACUAGGACCGCUAACAAUACGACGACCACCACCACCAAAUCAAAUUUGGAACAUUGUUGUGUUUUAACAUCCGCCCUUCAAGACAGCCUGUGCAAGGGUACCGUUUCGUUGACGCCUCAGCCGACGACGAAGACGACGUCAUCUUUGUCAUCAAACAAUUCCAACGCCGCCGCCGCUGCUGCUGGUGCAGUUAAGGAGCAGCAGCAGUCGAUGGUGAUGCAGAAACAACCCGACGUGAGCAUUCUACCAACUACAAAUAAGAGCAAAUCUUUGGAAAACCACGAUUUAGAACCACUUCCUAUAAGAGUGACACCUCCACUCUAUACAUACUCGAAUCCGGAGAAAAGGGGCACAGACAGUCCGACCCUCAUGUCCGACAAUGAAUUGAACUCGAUCAAUCAAUGCAAUCCGAUCCUCCCGAAGAGUCUGUUGGAGCAGUUGCUUAUAGAAAUACCGACGGAAAACCAGAUGCCAGCAAAUUCUCCGAGUCCUGCGACACGAUCGGUGCGAACGCGUGCGUCGUCCAAGUUGAAUAGCCCGGAGCAACUGUUGAAUUCUCCAAAACCUGCGAAGAGCACGCCCACGGCGAAACGAAAACGGCUCGAAUCGGACAGCUCUGGUAAUAAUGGUGGCAUCGAUGUGGUGGAUCAACGUAGUAACAAGAAACCGCGAAAAUGUUCGGAAAACACCACUGAAUUGAUUAAAGCAUGUUUAGAUUCAAGCACCGCAACCACCGUCACCAACAAAGUUGUAAAUAAUUCCAGCGGUGCAGCGAUGACGACGACGAUGAUGACGACAGUAACGACUAAUACGCCGGUAACGACUAGCGCUGCAGCUCUGAACAUCGUCAAUCCAAAAAAAGUGCUGGAAGAGAGUUCGGAUAGCGAUGAGCCUCUCAUAGAAGUUGUCGGGAAGGUGCGGAGCAAGAGUAACAACAAUUCCACCAAUGGCGCUAACGCUACCGCCAAAGUGAAGUUAAAAGGAUCGGUAAAUGCGCCUCCUUUUUCCCCAAGUGUUAUGAGUGGUACGAGACGGUCGAUCCGAGCAGUACCGGUGGCAGCAGUCAAUACGAGGAGCAAAGGGGACAAGAGUAGUAGUAACCCCGACAACGAUAUCAUCCGUAGAAAAACUCGAAGUACAGAAACAUCCAAGCAAUUGUGUGAUGGCACAAGCAUUCUAAAACUUACUUGAGAAGCAAGCAAGCAUGAGAGGCAAAUCGACCGCGUGCGUAGUAAAUCGAAUUCGCUAUCUGAGGGAGAAGGGAAACGGAAAAAGGACAUUAAGUGACAAUGCCAGGAGGAGGACUGCUGCCAAUGCGGCGUCGGCAGCAGUCUGUGUCGCCGUCGUCAUCAUCAUCAUCGUAGGUGUCGUGCAUCGUCACCACAGCCGCCUCCGGCUUUUCCAACUCCGACCUCCUCUACUACAGCUGCUGCGGCGGCGGCGGCAUUGACUACCGCUGAACUCUUCCGUUCGCUGUACUGCGGACCGCCGGUCGGGCAGCAACAACGGCUGCCCCAAACAGCACCUCCUACGCCCACAAGCGAGGUGGCGAACGCAGGCUUUGCGGAUUAAGUACAAAAAAAUAUUUAAAAGAGAAAUUUAAAUACCCGCUGACACUGUAUAGAAUGUGAUAUAUACUGUACAUAGUUAGGUAAUUGUAUAUAUAUAUAUAUAAUAUUAUUAUACAAGAAGAAAAAAAAACACAUUGGAAGAAAACGAGA